AUUCAGCUAAUGAGUUCCAAAUAAAAUGAAACGUACGUCCUGGAU
RNAcentral lists this non-coding RNA (45 nucleotides) under Schistosoma margrebowiei. The record is from RNAcentral. Lineage: Eukaryota; Metazoa; Platyhelminthes; Trematoda; Strigeidida; Schistosomatidae.